GACGAACGCUGGCGGCGUGCUUAACACAUGCAAGUCGAACGGAAAGGCCCUGCUUUUGUGGGGUGCUCGAGUGGCGCACGGGUGAGUAACACGUGUGUAACCUGCCCUUGACUUUGGGAUAACUUCAGGAAACUGGGGCUAAUACCGGAUAGGAGAUCCUGCUGCACGGUGGGGGUUGGAGAGUUACGGCGGUUGGGGAUGGACUCGCGGCUUAUCCGCUUGUUGGUGGGGUAGUGGCUUACCACGGCUGUGACGGGUAGCCGGCCUGAGAGGUUGGCCGGCCACAUUGCGCCUGCGGGACGGCGCAGAAUCCUACGUGAGGCAGCAGUGGGGAGCAUGACGCAAUGGGCGGAAGUCUGUUGCAGCGACGCCGCGUUCGUGAUGCCGUGCUUCGGGUUGUAAACCGCUUUCGCCUGUGACGAAGCGGUAGUGACGGUAAUGGGUAAAGAAGCACCGGCUAACUACGUG
RNAcentral lists this ribosomal RNA (468 nucleotides) under uncultured bacterium. RNAcentral's name for it is "partial 16S ribosomal RNA". It matches the Rfam family "Bacterial small subunit ribosomal RNA", at positions 28 to 507 of the family's 1533-position model. The record is from RNAcentral.